AGAGUUUGAUCCUGGCUCAGAACGAACGCUGGCGGCGUGCUUAACACAUGCAAGUCGAGUGCGCGCCUGUAGCAAUACAGGUGGCGCACGGCGCACGGGUGCGUAACACGUGGGUAAUCUGCCCUCUGAUGGGGAAUAACCCGCCGAAAGGCGGGCUAAUACCGCAUAACAUUCCUUGGAUUUCGGUCCGGGGACUCAAAGGCGUAAGUCGUCGGAGGAGGAGCCCGCGCACGAUUAGCUAGUUGGUAGGGUAAUGGCUUACCAAGGCUUUGAUCGUUAGCUGGUCUGAGAGGAUGGCCAGCCACACUGGAACUGAGACACGGUCCAGACUCCUACGGGAGGCAGCAGUGGGGAAUCUUGCACAAUGGGCGAAAGCCUGAUGCAGCGACGCCGCGUGGGGGAUGAAGCAUUUCGGUGUGUAAACCCCUUUCGAUCCGGACGAAUGCCUCGCAAGAGGAGUGACGGUACGGAUAUAAGAAGCCCCGGCUAACUACGUGCCAGCAGCCGCGGUAAGACGUAGGGGGCCAGCGUUGUUCGGAAUUACUGGGUGUAAAGGGUUCGUAGGCGGUGUGGCAAGUUGGGAGUGAAAUCUCUGGGCUCAACCCAGAGGCUGCUUCCAAAACUGCUGUGCUUGAGUGUGAGAGAGGCGCGUGGAAUUGCAGGUGUAGCGGUGAAAUGCGUAGAUAUCUGCAGGAACACCCGUGGCGAAAGCGGCGCGCUGGAUCACUACUGACGCUGAGGAACGAAAGCUAGGGGAGCAAACAGGAUUAGAUACCCUAGUAGUCC
RNAcentral lists this ribosomal RNA (786 nucleotides) under uncultured bacterium. Its description in RNAcentral is "bacterial SSU rRNA". It matches the Rfam family "Bacterial small subunit ribosomal RNA", at positions 8 to 796 of the family's 1533-position model. The record is from RNAcentral.